This 319-nucleotide long non-coding RNA is filed under the name Actinidia chinensis (golden kiwifruit). RNAcentral's name for it is "long non-coding RNA (ACHI_LNC009748)". The record is from RNAcentral. Lineage: Eukaryota; Viridiplantae; Streptophyta; Magnoliopsida; Ericales; Actinidiaceae.
GGAAGGUUACUAGAGGUGAAUCCAUCAGCAGCAACACAGUUAUUGGAGAGCCGGGGCCUGCUCAUAAUGCCAACUGACUUGGCUGAAGGACUUCAUCAGGUUGAUCACCCACCAGAAAACAAACUAAAAGGUAUCUGGUAAUUCUGACAGAAGCAAUAGAAUUUUCCAAUUAAACCCAGUUUUGGCCUGAGAGAGAGAGAGAUUUAUCCUGAAGAAAUCGUUUUACUUUAUUUACAUACUUACCUUGAAUCAGAGAUUAGAGCUUACAAUGUUGAUCACCUGCAGCUAACACACAACUGUCUUAAAUGUUGUAAAGCAU